CGGGGGGAGCAAGCGUUGUUCGGAUUUACUGGGCGUAAAGGGCGCGUAGGCGGCCACCGCAAGUCGGUUGUGAAAUCUCCGGGCUUAACCCGGAAAGGUCAAUCGAUACUGCGGGGCUAGAGUGCAGAAGGGGCAACUGGAAUUCUCGGUGUAGCGGUGAAAUGCGUAGAUAUCGAGAGGAACACCUGCGGCGAAGGCGGGUUGCUGGGCUGACACUGACGCUGACAGCGCGAAAGCUAGGGGAGCGAACGGGAUUAGAUACCCCGGUAGUCCUAGCCUUAAACGAUGAAUGCUUGGUGUCUGGGGUUUUAUAGUCCCCGGGUGCCGUCGCUAACGCUUUAAGCAUUCCGCCUGGGGAGUACGGUCGCAAGACUG
Molecule: ribosomal RNA, 375 nt
Filed under: uncultured organism
Description: bacterial SSU rRNA
Rfam family: Bacterial small subunit ribosomal RNA
Source: RNAcentral